Oncorhynchus masou masou (cherry salmon) is the source of this 630-nucleotide long non-coding RNA. RefSeq lists it as uncharacterized. Lineage: Eukaryota; Metazoa; Chordata; Actinopteri; Salmoniformes; Salmonidae. The transcript is spliced from 5 exons. The record is from RefSeq and is a predicted model, not a curated record.
CAUGUCAUUCCUAGCCGUGGAGAGUGAGACAGGAACAGGGAAUGAGUCCAGGCAAUAUGAGGUGUGGUUCUCUAUAGAGGUCAUAUGUGAUCCUGCUCCUCCCCUGAAGGUGCUGGCUGUGGACUGUGCUGUUCAGAGCUCUGUUGCCGUGGAGAUCCCCCUUAGUAAUCCGGAGGCGGAGCCGCUGAGCUGUGGGUGUGUCUGGAGGGAGAGGACCUGAGUGGAGACACCCUGGUGUGUGUCCCUCCCCAGAGCAGUCUCAACUACACAGUCACCUUCUCUCCUGCUAUAGUAGGGAAGAGAACAGACAGUGUGGUCUUCCAGUCGGAGCUGGUGGGAGAGUUCUGGUACCAACUGGACCUGCUGGCCCAACCUCCUGUCCUCACCACCUUACCACAGAGCAGCUGUGAACUGGGAAAGUGGACCAGGCUGUACAUCCCACUGGUCAACCCCACAGACGAGACACUGGAGCUGGGGAUGGUCAACAGCAACCCUCGCAAUUUCACCCUGGAGCUGGACACCAGCAGACCACUCAUCAUAGCACCACACUCGUCCACCCAGAUUCCUGUCCGUUUCAGCCCAUCAACCAUCGGAGCUGGAAACCACACAGCCAAGAUCUCCUUCACCUGC